AAUGAUACUUCUGCCGAAAGCAAGCUCGCCGAGAGGCGGGAUGUGUUGUUUAAGACGGAAAGAAUGUCUAGUUGCAGCACAU
Molecule: small RNA, 82 nt
Filed under: unclassified sequences
Description: dinG RNA
Rfam family: dinG RNA
Source: Rfam by way of RNAcentral